CUAUUAAAAUUUCAUUCAUUUCUACUAUUAAAAAUUGGCAUGAUUAACGAAAUAACUAGAGAAUUACACGUGGAGUGCCACGUAUACCUCAGGAUGACAUAGAGAUACUAAUUUUUAACCGUGGAAAUUGAUAAAAUUUUAACAA
This 145-nucleotide microRNA precursor is filed under the name Gossypium arboreum. RNAcentral's name for it is "MIR7502 microRNA precursor family". It matches the Rfam family "MIR7502 microRNA precursor family". The record is from Rfam by way of RNAcentral. Lineage: Eukaryota; Viridiplantae; Streptophyta; Magnoliopsida; Malvales; Malvaceae.